CCUACGGGCGGCAGCAGUGGGGAAUAUUGCACAAUGGGGGAAACCCUGAUGCAGCAACGCCGCGUGAGUGAAGAAGUAUUUCGGUAUGUAAAGCUCUAUCAGCAGGGAAGAAAAUGACAGUACCUGACUAAGAAGCCCCGGCUAACUACGUGCCAGCAGCCGCGGUAAUACGUAGGGGGCAAGCGUUAUCCGGAUUUACUGGGUGUAAAGGGAGCGUAGACGGCUGCGCAAGUCAGAAGUGAAAGCCCGGGGCUCAACCGCGGGACUGCUUUUGAAACUGUGUAGCUAGAGUGCAGGAGAGGAAAGCGGAAUUCCUAGUGUAGCGGUGAAAUGCGUAGAUAUUAGGAAGAACACCAGUGGCGAAGGCGGCUUUCUGGACUGAAACUGACGCUGAGGCACGAAAGCGUGGGGAGCGAACAGGAUUAGAUACCCCGGUAGUC
This 440-nucleotide ribosomal RNA is filed under the name uncultured bacterium. RNAcentral describes it as "partial 16S ribosomal RNA". It matches the Rfam family "Bacterial small subunit ribosomal RNA", at positions 338 to 795 of the family's 1533-position model. The record is from RNAcentral.